UUUUCACAAUUACUUCAAAGUCCUAUUGAGCGAAUUUUAAAUAUUAAAGUUAUCAUCUUUAUUUUGGAAACAAGAACAAUUUCCUGUCAAAAAAACCCAAGAACAAUUUGGAAACAAUUUCUGUGUCCUUGGAACUGCCCCUGAAUUAAUCCCCCUAAAGUCUAAGAAUGAAUUUCCUGCCACUGUUCAUCCCUUUUUUUGAGCACAUAACCGUUCUAAUUUUCGAGUACUGUUCAUCAGUACCACUUUUCUGACCCAGACUCCUGAUUCCCUUCUAGCCCUGGUAUCUCCUUCAUCAGUAGCAUGUACGGAUUCAACAGCUGCCCAUAUCUUCCACAGCCGUAAUGUAUCUUCCGGAGAUUCAUAUGUAGAUUGCGAAGGACGGUUGCUUGAUCUGUAAUUGCCCCUCUAUCUGAGCUUGAAUAUCGGUCACCAUGGUUGCUAUAAAAACUCAAUCGAUGUUCAUUCACCGGAGAACCGACAAACACCACCUUCAACCGCCGCAAGCAUCGCGAAACCCAGUUUGAUUAUGUAGAAUGAUCAAUAUGGAGAAGUAUAAUAGUGAAGGUAAGUCCUAAAAACAGGGCAGCAACUAGGCAAUCAAAAACCCACUAUUUGUAAGAUUGGGAUUCCACUGUUCAUGGUGAUUUUAUGGACAUUCUAGAGUUUUUCUCUCUACUAUUCAUGGCUUCAGAAAGCACAUAAGGAGAGGUAUCUUAAUCCAGCUGGUUGUACUGCAUUUUCACAAACAUAUAUGCUUUUUUGUUUUUCAGGUUUGAACAUACAGACUAAUGUUCUUUCAAUGCAAAUAGCCUUAAAGAUAUGAGUGACUGAUAAAUUAUACCAAGAAAAAUGUUCAUAUAGUUACACUAUCAAGAUAAGCUUUUGAUUGCUAGCCUUUGAUGCCCAAUUUGUUCUCUAUUUGAAUUGAUAUGCAUAUGAGAGCUAACAUAGGGAAAUUGAAAAGCUCUCCUUUCAAUAGUGUUAUCAAGUCAUUCAUUGCUAUUUUGCAUCAAUGUCAAACUUUCAGGUUAAUAAAGUCAAAAAAUAUCUGGUGUAGCUUAUAUUAUGAUAAACCUCUGUUAUACUUACAAUUGUUGUCAUUUUAUAUACUCCAUUUGGCUAGCUUUCAUACAUAUAACAAUAAAAGUGCAUAGUCUUAAUUUUAUAGAAAACGUUUAUACAAGCCAUUUGAGCAAGAUCAUUAGCUGCUUUGCUCUUGGUAGCAUUUGGGUUUUCCAAUGGCUCUUUCAAGAAGGAAAGGAUUGGCGUAUUUGAGUCAACAAUGAUUAUCUUUCUUUGAAGGAGCAGAAGAUUGAAAAAUAAGUUGCUAUGGCAAAGUACAUAUGGAGGACCCUUUUGCUAUUGUUGAGUAAUGUUACGAUUACAGCUGAACCUUAGUGGGAAUGGCUGCUGAUGCACUUUGCCAUUGUUGAGUAGUGUUUAUUUUCUUAUAAUGGGACACUGAUACGCUUUUGAUGCACCCAAUAUGUACAUACUUUCCUUAAAGCUCUCUUGUUGCAAUGAUAUCGUUCAUCAUACAAGCAACUUAAUUUCAACUGAUGUAAUUUGGCCUUGGAGCUUUGAUCAUUGUGCUUAUAUUUAUAUUGACUUCAUUUUGUCA
This is a long non-coding RNA of Lotus japonicus, 1624 nucleotides long. RefSeq lists it as uncharacterized. The transcript has 3 exons. Lineage: Eukaryota; Viridiplantae; Streptophyta; Magnoliopsida; Fabales; Fabaceae. The record is from RefSeq and is a predicted model, not a curated record.